Molecule: ribosomal RNA, 619 nt
Filed under: Staphylococcus aureus
Lineage: Bacteria; Bacillati; Bacillota; Bacilli; Caryophanales; Staphylococcaceae
Description: bacterial SSU rRNA
Rfam family: Bacterial small subunit ribosomal RNA
Source: RNAcentral
GACGGUCUUGCUGUCACUUAUAGAUGGAUCCGCGCUGCAUUAGCUAGUUGGUAAGGUAACGGCUUACCAAGGCAACGAUGCAUAGCCGACCUGAGAGGGUGAUCGGCCACACUGGAACUGAGACACGGUCCAGACUCCUACGGGAGGCAGCAGUAGGGAAUCUUCCGCAAUGGGCGAAAGCCUGACGGAGCAACGCCGCGUGAGUGAUGAAGGUCUUCGGAUCGUAAAACUCUGUUAUUAGGGAAGAACAUAUGUGUAAGUAACUGUGCACAUCUUGACGGUACCUAAUCAGAAAGCCACGGCUAACUACGUGCCAGCAGCCGCGGUAAUACGUAGGUGGCAAGCGUUAUCCGGAAUUAUUGGGCGUAAAGCGCGCGUAGGCGGUUUUUUAAGUCUGAUGUGAAAGCCCACGGCUCAACCGUGGAGGGUCAUUGGAAACUGGAAAACUUGAGUGCAGAAGAGGAAAGUGGAAUUCCAUGUGUAGCGGUGAAAUGCGCAGAGAUAUGGAGGAACACCAGUGGCGAAGGCGACUUUCUGGUCUGUAACUGACGCUGAUGUGCGAAAGCGUGGGGAUCAAACAGGAUUAGAUACCCUGGUAGUCCACGCCGUAAACGAUGAG